GAGAAAGGACGUGCCUUUCCCCCUCGCCUUUUCCCUGUGGCUGGAAGGAGGAUGUGAGGUCGGGGCGUCAUGCACCCCGAGACCAGGGCCACGCCCUGGGGAGGGAGGACACCAGGGAGCCGCAGCCCCAGGCUGACAAGCGUGUCGUGACGGCUCCCUGCGUGGAGCCGUGGAAACACCCGCGCACGGGCUGGGAGCAGAGUGAGCUCCCUGUGAGCGGACGGGGGGCCCAGGGCAGUGGUCCCCACCCAGGCGGUUUAGCACCCGGGGGACACUGAGUAAUGUCUGGAGACGGUUUUGAUCGUCGCGACUGGGAAUGGGGACCCGCUCCUGGCACAGAGUGGGCAGAGGCCAGGGAUGCUGCUGAGCAUCCUACAGAGCCCAGGACAGCCGCCAGCAGAGAAUUAGCUAUCCGGCCCCAAAUGUCCGCUGUGCCGGGUCGAGGAGCCGGGUCUGAUGGGGUGACGUCCACCGCCCAGCUCGCGCUCGGGGGAGCGAUGGGGGCACAGGCCGGUUGGCGGGAGGGGGGCUUUGCAUCGGGGCGACCUGUGACCUCUGCACCUUCCCCCAGCUCCGCCGGCUCCCAGGCGGCCGAGACGUGUUCCAACAGCUCUGCCUCCCCCGCACGCCCGCUGCCAGCCAGGCGCGUUUCCGGGGGGUGGGCGGAGGGCGCGGUGCCACCCGAACGCAGGCCAGCUUUCCCGGGGGCGCAGGGGGGCCUGCCCGACGAGAGAGGGCCCAACGCCGUCCAGGGCUCGUGCAUCCUUGAGGAAACGGCCUCCUGAAGAAAAAUCCGAAUCUCCCCUCCCCGAUUUCCCAGGAUGUGGUGAGCCCCCACCUUCUGGGAUGGCAGGGCAGGCUUCUAGAACCUUCCAUCCCAGCCACACAGAAACCCAGAGACCGGAGCAAAAUCUAACCCCCUGAGGAACUCUGGGCAUUUGCUGAAAAUUCGAGAAGUAGUGCCCACGCUGUCUGUUCAGAGGCGUUUCUCGGUGAGCAGUCAUUCAUUGACUUGAACACCCGCUGCACCCAGCGGCUCGCCCACCCCGGCCUUCCCAUUGCCACCUGGGCCUCUUUGCUGAGGGCUCCCUCUGGCCACCGGCGUCCGUGGAACCCCCGAAGGACAAGCCUGAAGCGCCCAAGAAGUGGUGCCUCGGCAGCAGGGCUCAGCCAGUGACGUGACUUUUCUGCAUACUUUCGCACCUACCAUGUGCCAGGCUCAUGAGUACACAGGGAGCAACGGAGGCCCAUUGCUGUCCCCCUGGAGGUUCCAGUCUGGAGGGGAAGACAGACAACAACCGACGAGCUGGGCAGGUGUUCAUUCCCGACGAUGGGGUUGCCCCACAGAGCCUCGUGGUGCAUCACACGGUGGACACUCAUUUCCUACAGUGCCCCUCAGAUGCCGCGUGGAAACACAUGUGGCACACACCUGCACACACAGGCACACGCACAACAUACGAAGACUUCCCGGAAUUGCCCGUGGAAAGGAGGGGAAAAGGACAUUCAGUACAGCUGCUUUUGAUUUUUAACAAUUUAAUUAAUCCUCCUCCACCAAUGUGGUCCCCAUGGGCGCAGGGCCGCGGUUUCCUGAGCUCAGGAAAGACUGAAACGAGGCUGCACGGUCCGUGUGACAACGGACGCGCCCGUGUACCUCCCCCCGCCUCCCCGCUCGUUUGACGAGGCCAGGCCCGUCACCUCACGGCUUCCGUACUGAGUGCUGGGAAGGGCCCAGCUUUUAUCUCCUGGCCUGUGGGUGUGGGACUCCCCAAGGCCACAAGAAGGCUCCAGCGGGGUGCUCGGCCCCGCCCCUGUGCAGCCCCAGCAGAACUGAUCCCACUCCACGACCGCUCUCGCCCAAGCGUCGUCACCAGCAGCUGCAGAAGGCGCUUUCCUCCUGCUCGCCAGGGCCUGCAGGACAGUCGGCCCGCGGGGGGCGUGGGGUUGAAGAUGCUGCCCUUCCCUGGGAGCCGCAGCCGGCAGUGACCAGAGGACGCGGAGACCUGAGGUUCCUGAUGGUCCUCUGUCCCCAGAGAGGAGGAGUCCUCGGCCUCCAGUACACGCUCAGGCCCUCGGACAGAGGGAUCGUAACCCACGGACUGCGUAGACGUGCUGGAGGAGACACAGGAGCGCGAGCCCACCCAGAGACCGAGGCGGGCGAGGCGUAGAGAAACCACGUGUUGCUGGACAGCAACUGACUCUUGUCUCAAGGUCAAGCAGACGGCAGGGAGGGGUGGAGACUGGGGCACGCUGGUGAGUGGAUGUCCCAUCUACAGGGACAGUGCCGCUCAGUGCCAUCUGAUUCCCGCCGAUGAAGACUGCAGGCCCAAGGCCGCCAGACUGUUCCCUUUUGUGUCAGAGAAGACAGAAGUUCAGACUUUUAUAUGAAAUCUCCCACUUUCUAAAGGUUGGCAGUCAAUUUAAUUUCUGUGCGUGUGUGUGUAUUAUUUUUUAACACUGUUAAGAAUGAUCAAAAUACACAUCCAUAGUUGGGACCGGCAGUUUGUGACAUCUAUGUCACAGAGCCUUGAGAAGGAUGGAGUCCAACCAUGGCCUAUUGGUCCAGCUUAUGCAAUGACUAAAUGUUUGUCGACUGACUAAGUGACUGGCAGUGGGCUCAUUGAAAAUCUCCAAAACACGACCAUCAUUCCAACAAUCCUUAUGUUUAUUCCAAUGCAAUUUUAUUUUUCCCAAUCACCCUGUCCCUCCAGUGCCUUUGCAUUUCUGUGACUACUCACGUUAACAAGUUGUUGAACUCAUUAAACGCCUACUGUGUGCUAGGCUCUGGGAAA
This is a non-coding RNA of Equus caballus (horse), 2789 nucleotides long. The record is from RefSeq and is a predicted model, not a curated record. Lineage: Eukaryota; Metazoa; Chordata; Mammalia; Perissodactyla; Equidae.